GCCCUAGUAGCUCAGCCCGGCAGAGCGACGGUUUUGUAAACCGUUGGUCGGGGGUUCAAAUCCCCCCUAGGGCUCCA
This 77-nucleotide transfer RNA is filed under the name Candidatus Methanosuratincola sp. RNAcentral describes it as "tRNA-Thr". It matches the Rfam family "tRNA". Rfam says of the family: Transfer RNA (tRNA) molecules are approximately 80 nucleotides in length. Their secondary structure includes four short double-helical elements and three loops (D, anti-codon, and T loops). Further hydrogen bonds mediate the characteristic L-shaped molecular structure. tRNAs have two regions of fundamental functional importance: the anti-codon, which is responsible for specific mRNA codon recognition, and the 3' end, to which the tRNAs corresponding amino acid is attached (by aminoacyl-tRNA synthetases). tRNAs cope with the degeneracy of the genetic code in two manners: having more than one tRNA (with a specific anti-codon) for a particular amino acid; and 'wobble' base-pairing, i.e. permitting non-standard base-pairing at the 3rd anti-codon position. The record is from RNAcentral. Lineage: Archaea; Thermoproteati; Thermoproteota; Methanosuratincolia; Candidatus Methanomethylicales; Candidatus Methanomethylicaceae.